RNAcentral lists this long non-coding RNA (1129 nucleotides) under Homo sapiens (human). RNAcentral describes it as "long intergenic non-protein coding RNA 1681". The record is from RNAcentral. Lineage: Eukaryota; Metazoa; Chordata; Mammalia; Primates; Hominidae.
GCUCCCUGAUGGGAGUAUUCAUGGUUAGAGUCUCAGUCUCUAUUACGGGCCCUAGUACACUUCAGGAACUCAAAAGCUUUGCUGAUAUAAUGCAAGGUGAUAAAAAAGUAGAAAGACUUGGGAUAAUCUUGAUUUCUGAAGGCAUCAAACGGGAAUUAGAGAAAGCAGCAGGAAAAACGAAGGCCUUUUUAAGUUCCAUGAGAACUACGGUUUGCAAGACUGGUCAAAACAGUACAAUGCAAGCGGCAAGAAUCAGGAAGUGCACAGAAACAAGAAGCUCGGUGCACACUGGGAUCAGGCAAGCAUCUGGGAGAAGACUGUAGCAAGACUGGAUCCUGAGAAAUAUACAGAGUUCAGAGGCUCCAUGGCUACACUUUGGGCAUGUAUGUCAUUACAGGAAUGAAAAAAAGAUGAUGGCCAAAUGCUGUAUUAAAAUCCCAUUAGAAAUGCCGGGAGAAAUUUAUGGCCCCAAUCUCUUUUAUCUGACAGCAGUUCCCAUGUGAUCCAUCAGGCUCUGAACAUGAAUUUUAAUGGGCUCAGAACCACUUCUCUACCCUGAGGUCACAGGCUGUCAGAGUGAAUCUUCCACAAACUGAUUGGAACCUGAAGAAUUUGCUCUGUCAAGAGAGAGUGUUUCAAUUGAAUAUUGCAACUGAAGACAUUCACUCUGCGUUGAUCACCUAUGGAGUGAUCAAAUUUCAACCCUUUGAAGUUUCCUAAAUGAAAGAGGCACUCUGAAUUCAAAGGCUGUUUGAAUGAACUGACUGCUUCAGCACUGUCUUGUAGAUAUAGUCCAUUCAAAUAAAAGACAAAUAUCUGACUGAAUUUUGUUAGCACGUUAAGACAUGUAUUAUAAAAAGGUUUAAGAAGAAAAUAAUGGCCACAAUUCUUCAGAAAACAUGUGAACUAAUGUGACAAAACACUGUGGUGUUGCAAACUCAAGUGCUGCUCUGGCCAAGUCACCUCGCUGAAAUCUCCACUUCCACUUGUGCAACCUACCAAGCCACUCUCUACACAGCUGCCAGAGUGAUUACAAAAACAACGCGGGAUUAUGCUACCCCUGCUUAUCUAAAAUUUGUCAAAAUGCCCGUUACACUUUGAAUAAAAUACAGAUUCCUCUCAGAUCUCA